UAGGGAAUCUUCCACAAUGGGCGAAAGCCUGAUGGAGCAACGCCGCGUGUGUGAUGAAGGGUUUCGGCUCGUAAAACACUGUUGUAAGAGAAGAAUGGCAUUGAGAGUAACUGUUCAAUGUGUGACGGUAUCUUACCAGAAAGGAACGGCUAAAUACGUGCCAN
RNAcentral lists this ribosomal RNA (164 nucleotides) under uncultured bacterium. RNAcentral describes it as "partial 16S rRNA". It matches the Rfam family "Bacterial small subunit ribosomal RNA", at positions 355 to 511 of the family's 1533-position model. The record is from RNAcentral.